RNAcentral lists this transfer RNA (72 nucleotides) under Caudoviricetes sp. RNAcentral describes it as "tRNA-Ile". It matches the Rfam family "tRNA". Rfam says of the family: Transfer RNA (tRNA) molecules are approximately 80 nucleotides in length. Their secondary structure includes four short double-helical elements and three loops (D, anti-codon, and T loops). The record is from RNAcentral. Lineage: Duplodnaviria; Heunggongvirae; Uroviricota; Caudoviricetes.
AGCCGCGUAGUUAAAUGGUUAUAACGGACCCCUUAUAAGGGUUUAUUGAUAGUUCAAUUCUAUCCGUGGCUA